This 825-nucleotide non-coding RNA is filed under the name Pongo abelii (Sumatran orangutan). Lineage: Eukaryota; Metazoa; Chordata; Mammalia; Primates; Hominidae. The record is from RNAcentral.
AGAACAAUGAAUUCCUUCAAGGCUCUGGGCAGACAUUUCAAACAGUGGCUACUAGACAGGCUUGGCAUAGCUUAGACUCAAUUAUAGCUAGAAUUAUUUUAUUUCUGGAUGCUGCAUCUUAGUCCAGGGAUUUUUAAAGUGUGGUUCCUGGAAGAGCUGGAUCAGAGUCAUCUGUGUUGAUGGUUUAACGUAAAGAUUUUCGGGCCCCAAGACUCAAGUAGGACAAGGAAUUUGAAUUUUUAAGCAGCUCACCUGACUUGUCUGUCCUCUAAUGUCUGAGGACAUCUGACCUCUGCUCUUUCAGUAAAAGCAACAAUGGUUUUAUGAGCAUCGUCGUCACAUCUCUCCACUCGAGGGAUCCUUCUCAUUUCUCCCAGCUGAGGUCACCCACAGCUGCUACUUCUAACUGCUGGCUUCCAGCCUGCUGUCUGCCAGCUGGCUCUACCCUCUCCUAUAACACAGCAGAGAGUAGCUGUGGUCUCCUGCGUGCUCACCCUCCGCUCCCUUGGGUCCAUGCUUUGGUCCUGCACUUAAAUUUUACAAGCAUACUCUCUUUCUCUUAAGUAACUGCCUGUAAAGCCAAGAAGUGGAGUGACGGGGUGGUGUUGAAGGUGGCAGAUUGAUGAAGAUAAGGAGAAAUGAAUUUGGAAAAGGAGGGAGGAGCAAACCAAUGAAGAGUUGUAAGAACCAGAAAAGCAAUUCUGAAUUAGAUUUAGAAGUGGCAGAAUGACAAGGUGAAGUUUUCUAUAGGGAGAAAGUUGCUAGGUUGCCUCAUUUGAGACAGCCUGGAAUUUUUGAAAAGUGGAAAUUAAAAAAAAAACUAGA